UGAAACUUAUGAUCUCCUAAGAAAAAUGAAACUUAGGCGCCGCCCCCGACUAGAUCUAGCCCAAAUCCCCUUCUGCUCCGACCCCAGACCCCGCCGACCACCUUCCAUCGCCCGACCCUAGCCGCCGCAGACCCCAGAACCUGCUGACUACCCUCCACCGCGCGACCCCAGCUGCCCCGACCACCCAUCGCAGCAGCCUCCUCCCGGACCACCAUUGCCGCCGAGGGAUCCUGCCGCCGGGCACCUUCCUCUACCGCGCGGCGUCAAAUACCCUCCUCCGCAGAUCUCGUCCGCCCUCUGCCGCAUCCCCGGCGCCGCCUAAAUGUCGCCUCUCCGCCUCGCUUUCUCCCCAGACAGCACCGUCUCCUUGGCAUCUCUCCUGAACUGCCGAGAUGAGGCGUAUGCGGACUAGGGUUUGGCGCCGCCUGCCCUCCUGGUCGACCUCCUCCGGCCAGUGCUCCUCUGCCCCUGGUCGACCUCGACGUCGUGCUUCCCAGUCCAUCGUCCUUUGUCCUGCUCCCCCCAGUUCGUGCUCCUCAGGUCUCCUCCUCUUGUACUUCCAGCCCGAGGUACCUCUUUAGUUUUUUCCCUAUUUUUUUUCUGUUAAGGUAACACUGAUCAAUAGUUUAUAGUUGACACAUUUGUGAGAAACUUAUGCUUACAUUUACUUAUGCCUGUGCCUUGCAGAAUCACAGGUCAACAGAUGUUUGUCUCAAAACGACAGGUAAUACCAUCAUGCCAAAUCUUCUUCCUCUGAUUUGAAGAAAAUAGCAGAGCGCUCAAACUAUAGCUCUAGCGACAGUUGCCGCUUUGUCUUACUGGUAAAUAUUUGCUACAAAGUGCUAUUUUCAGCUGCAAACAUUCAGCCUAUACCAUGUACUGCAUGUUUUACUAAUAAUUGCUGCCUGGUAUCUUGUCUGACCUAAAACAUAUGGUCAUUUUUAGUAAUAGCAAACGCAAAUUAGAAAUUGGGUUGGGCAGGGAAUUCAUGACCUGAAACAUAUGUUUGUCAACUAUGAUUAUUUUGUUUCAAAUAGCAACACAUACAAACCUUGUUUUGUUUGCAUGUUAAGGUUUAGGAGGUUGAAAAGGAUAUUAACACGCAUAAUAAGUGACUAUCUUAAUUUUUGUGACUAAGGAAGUUGGAACUAUUAGUUGUGUUGAUUGUUACAUCUUAGAACAUUUUUUAUUUGCUCAUGAAAAUGAAAACUGUUGAACAUGACCCCACCUCAAUCCCGCGAAAAAGAACUUGGUGGAACUGUUGGAUGUCUUAUUUUUGAAUGGCAAAGAACAAUCACUCCCGAUCAGGUGAGUACAAAAUAGUCCAAUUUUGUCCCAUCCCAUGUGUAUGUUAGGAUGUUAGCAGUCUGGUUUUCAUGCCUUAUCUGAACAAUUGAAAUAUAUAAUGCAAAGUGGCACCAAAUGUGUAGUUAGUGUCAAAAGACCUUCAUAAUUUGGACUGCUAAUUCUUGUGGAUUAUCUGUUUGAUUGAAACCGCUGUGCAUUGCCAACAUAUUUCGUCCACUAAUUUUGCUCUUGGAUUCUGGCUGUAUUUCUUUCUUUCCAAAUUUGAUUGUGUCAUUCUUGUAAUUUCUUUACCAUGCUAUGCAGAAUGAAUCAUCUUUUGAUGGUGCUCAAGUCAUGGGCAUAGAUGCAUCUAACCAAAUAAUACUUGCUUCUGGAAGGCACCUGGUGUAGGUGGAGAACAUGUUCUUAGAGAGGUACAUUUAAAUCUCGUUCUUUGCCAAAUUAAUGGCUACCACCACUAAAUUUUUGCAACACCUUAUUGUAACAUGAUGGGCAGCAGUUCUAUGUCCCCUCUCCGAGCUGCUCUUUCAUGGUACUAGUUCCUCGGAGCAAUCCUUAUAUAUCUUGUAUAUCUUAAUUACUUCCUAUUUACAGCUAGGUAUUUGGCUUGCUAGGUAAAGCAAAGGAACCAUAUUGAUACUCACGAUGAACUUAAUUAGCAAAGUUAAAAUUCUGUUCAAAAUUCAGAACUGAUAUGAUUUAUUGUAUUUGUACAUGCUUUGCAUAUUGAUGAUUUGGUAAGCAUCGCUACACUGGGCAUGACCAAUUGCUUAAAAGAAGGUCUCUAUCAUAUUGAUGAUCUGUCAAAAUGUACGUGUAGAUAUUCUGCACAUUCUGGUUCAUGCCACUACUUAAUUAAGGUCUUCUUUUAUGAGGUUCUGCCUUGUGCAAAUAAUAUGAUUAUUUAGCAGCUUGGUUUCAUGGCUUUGGAUCUCAUGUGAAUAAACUAUAUAUUAAGUGUUUGCUGUUCUUUGCUUAAUAAUAAUAAUAGUAACUUUGGAAAUUACAAGCUUCAGUACAAAGAUGCCAAAGUUUUGAUAUAAAUUGUACUAACUCAUAAUGGUGGCUUCUAAUUAUAGUGAACUAGAUAGGCGCUCACAUGCUAGUGGGCUUCGGUGGCAUUUUGAGCUCUUGGCUGUUGUCUUUAACUGCCAAUGCGUAGCGGCCAACAAAAUUAGCUCUAGUGCUUUGUGUGAACUUAUGGUGGUUAUUUACUUUAUUUCAUUGUACACUGCAUUGUGCUAUAUAUGUUCCAUAAGUAUAAACAUGCUAUGCUUGGCAUGCGGUUUUGGGGAAAAAGGAAGCAUCGCAUGUGUACAAAUCGUUUGACCUGCAUUUUACUACUUGCUAUUUACUAUACAUCGAAAUUGUACUUGUAAGUGUAAAAAUUUGUCUGCGGUUAAAAAAGUUUUGUAUCAAGCUUGUAAGUUUUGUCACAAGGAUGAGAUUGUUUAAUACUACAAAACUUCAUACCUUUGCUUUCAUAAUUUCUGUAUACGAAACCAUUCUAAACUAAACCAACUAGAUCCGAUCCUUAUCUGUUCAUAAUUUUUUUCUCUGUGGUUCAAAAAGUUAAUUGACGUCUACAAAGUUGUACUAAAGUUGCAUCAAUUAAUUUGGGUAUUAGGGAGUAUCAAUCUUGUAAGUUUUGUCACAAGGAUGAGAUUGUUGAAUGCUACUCCCUCCAUUCUGAAUUACUUGUCGCAGGUAUGGAUGUAUCUAGAUGUAUUUUAGUUUUAGAUACAUCCAUUUUUGUGACAAGUAAUUUGGAACGGAGGGAGUACAAAACUUCAUACCUUUGCUUCAUGUUCUUGAUGUUUGAACUGGGGAUCCCAUGAAAUUCUUUUUUGUAACAUGGUUCUCAUCUCUGAACAUCCUCAGCUUUCCAUUUUUAGAAUUUUUUAAAACAAAAUACGGCAAUUGACAUCUGUUUCGUUAGCUUUUUAUACUAAUGUUUUACUUCUCCGAACUAAAUUUUUGCAAAUUACAUCGAUCUAGUUGCAGGUCUUUGUAUAUUUCCACAAUUAUGGAGGGUGUGGUUUAGCUGUGUUUUUCAGAGCAUUGCAAGUUUGGUGACUCUUCUGGGGGAGUCAUGUGGCUCUUUUUGAAUGAUGGCGUUUCAUAGGAUGGUGGCAAGUCUGGUAUUUAGAAGACAUUUUAUGAAGCCUGAGGAAGUCCUGGAUUAGGGGGUGUUCGGAUAGCCGGAACUAUACCUUCGGCCGGACUCCUGGGCUAUGAAGAUAUAAGAUUGAAAAUUUCGUCCCGUGUCUGGAAGGGACUUUUCUUGGCGUGGAAGGCAAGCUUGGCGAUACGGAUAUGUAGAUCUCCUACCAUUGUAACCGACUCUGUGUAACCCUAGCCCUCUUCGGUGUUUAUAUAAACUGGAGGGUUUUAGUCCGUAGGAACAACCAUCAUACCAUAGGCUAGCUUUUAGGGUUUAGCUUCCUUAAUCUCGUGGUAGAUCUACUCUUGUACUACCCAUAUCAUCAAUAUUAAUCAAGCAGGAGUAGGGUUUUACCUCUAUCGAGAGGGCCCGAACCUGGGUAAAAACAUCGUGUCCUUUGUCUUCUGUUACCAUCCGUCUAG
Molecule: long non-coding RNA, 3894 nt
Filed under: Triticum aestivum (bread wheat)
Lineage: Eukaryota; Viridiplantae; Streptophyta; Magnoliopsida; Poales; Poaceae
Description: long non-coding RNA (TAES_LNC020807)
Rfam family: MIR1120/MIR1122 microRNA precursor family (bases 2981-3095)
Source: RNAcentral